This 235-nucleotide ribosomal RNA is filed under the name uncultured bacterium. RNAcentral describes it as "partial 16S ribosomal RNA". It matches the Rfam family "Bacterial small subunit ribosomal RNA", at positions 96 to 334 of the family's 1533-position model. The record is from RNAcentral.
UGGCGGACGGGUGAGUAAUGUCUGGGAAACUGCCUGAUGGAGGGGGGUAACUACUGGAAACGGUGGCUAAUACCGCAUAACGUCGCAAGACCAAAGAGGGGGACCUUCGGGCCUCUUGCCAUCGGAUGUGCCCAGAUGGGAUUAGCUAGUAGGUGGGGUAACGGCUCACCUAGGCGACGAUCCCUAGCUGGUCUGAGAGGAUGACCAGCCACACUGGAACUGAGACACGGUCCAG